Long non-coding RNA from Lagopus muta (rock ptarmigan), 3298 nucleotides. RefSeq lists it as uncharacterized. The transcript has 3 exons. NCBI's taxonomy places the organism in Eukaryota, Metazoa, Chordata, Aves, Galliformes, Phasianidae. The record is from RefSeq and is a predicted model, not a curated record.
UCAAAGCUCUUCCUAGCCGACUCCGAUUUCCGCAGCUGACAGUCAAGAACAGUAACCCUCUUUCUCAAAUCCUGGAUGCUAUCCUGGAAAAGAUGUUUGGAGGUGAAGUCCUUCUAAUGAUGUUGCUACAUACUUUACUGUCACUGCCUGAGUUUGCACAUCACGCAGGUGGAUUCCAGAUGCAACCAUUCAGUCCAAACUGCUCUUGAAAAGCACAAGCAGGUGUGGCCAAUGCAUUCUGCAUGACUGUCAUCUGCACCUGGGAACACAGGCGACCCGAAAGCAGCGUCUCUGUUGGGCAGCUCGUCCUGCUGCCAGCCGUCAGCACAGCACCCGGAGCUGAGCAGCGCUGGCUGACUGACAGACAGACAGACAGACAGACAGCUGCUCACGGGCACAGCACAGACAACGCGUCCCUCCUGCACGUGGCUCACAGCAGUUCCCUUUCCUUCAAAUUAGUCGGGGCAUUUCUUAGAAAUUCCAAUCCAUAUCUGCAGAGAUCAAACCUCCUGCUUCUGCAGGACUUCCCUGCCGCUGUAACUCAUCAGCAAGAAAAGGUGGGCCCUGCAGAUGACAAAGGAUGUUUUCAUAGUCUUCAGUAGCAAAGGUACCAGCAGUGAGCCCAGGUGAGGGAAGGGCUCUUGGAGAGGAAAGUGAAAAGGUUCUAAGUUUGCUGAAUAGAAAUGAACACAGAGGCCCCGACAAAGAGUAGCAUCUUAAAAAUGCAUUGGUGGGAAUUAUUUAAAUAAACUGAUAGCAAAUAAGUCAUGGGAGAACUGCUAUAAUGAAAAGGGAGGUCUUUAUUUUGAAAUAAGACUUCCUUGAGAUAGAGGUUUAAUCUCUUCUAACCCAGAACUGCCUUCACUCCUCCAUUGUUUCUUCUGAAACCCAAUUGUUGAAUAUUAAUUCCUCUGUAAUAGCAGACUAAGUAUGACCAGAUUUCAACAAUGAAAGACCUAAAGGAAUAAUUAACGAACAAUGGACUCUUCUAUUACAAGGAAACGAUUAUCCACACCAGGACUGAAUUAGCAGAAUUUUCUGACAAACCAGAGCCGUUUCCUCCAGCAGAGAGCACAGAGGGAUGGAGGCCAUCAGCUUUCCCAGUUCUACAGUUACUGAAGCUGGCACUGCUGUGACACGGUCGGUUCUAACCCACAGAGCUGAGGGGCAUCCACCACGAGAACAGGUGGACUACAGCAUGCUGCAGCAGCACCUCGUCUCAUCCCUUUUGACUGCAGGCAUAAAGGAAGACAUAACAGCUGCAAAUAUUUUACCCAAAUAAAUGCUUGAUGGAACCCUUUGUCCCAAUGUGGCACAAAGCCACCACCACAGCUGAGUGCAGGCUGCAGAACAGAAUGGAAUACUUAUGGAGAAGGCAAGGUGCAGCUUUCUUAUGUGCCAGGUAUUUCUCCCUCGAAUUAAUUCAAAUGUUUACAGGCUUUAUCUGAGAAAUAAUCCAGCCACCACAGUCACUGAACCAAAGUCACAAGACCCCACUGGGGAGGAAAGGAACAGAAACCCUGAAAUGGCCAUACGUACAUGGGAAGGUGCAGAAUCUUUUGGGAAAAGCCCCUCAGCAUCUGUGCCUGGAAAAAAGCACAACUUUAACACUGACUCAGUCAGUGUUCAGUGCUGAGACUUCUUCCAUUAAGGACUGCACCACACCUCUACCCGUCAUAAUGAAGAUGUAUUUCUUAAUACAUAUACAAAAAAAAAGAGGCAGCAUUCAAGUUAUGGCUUCUAGACUGGCAGAAAGAAGGGUGAGGUGGGCUUCAGUACACCAAGAAAGAAGUUGCUCGUGCUUUCACUUUGACAAAACCUGUUUUUCCAUUAUUUCUCCUGAAAUAAAGCACCUCAGAGACACUGCACCCAUUCUAUUUCUUACACUUCUGUGUGGAUAAGCACCUAAACUGCAUAUCUAAAAUGCAUCCUCAUGUUUGCUCUAGGAAACAUCUACCUCCUCUGAGCACCUUCAAUGCAAAUUAAUGCAAAUUAAAGUAGCCACAGCUUAAGGCCAAAAACACGUCCCUAGAUCAGCAAAGCAGUUUUCACUUUCUUGCUGAGUGAAAAAUGGAAAGCACUUGCACUUUCACUUUCCUAAGUCGUACCCUUCCUCACCUCCAACAAUCCCUGUGUGUCAGAGGACUCAAAAAGAGGUUGAGAUAAGAAGCCUGAAGUAUAUCAUUAUAAAUUAAAUGACAAAUGGCAGUCUAGAUUGCCUAUUAUUAACUUUGUAUCACUAUGAACCUCAGUGUCAACAAUGGUUCUGAACCACAGAUGUAUAUAUAUGCACUAUAUCAACAUAUAAAAAUGUAAUAAUUUCAUAUAUACAUGUAUAUACUAUUUAUGUAUAGUUAUAUCUAUAGUUACACAUAAAAUACUUGAAAACAUGUGCAGAACACACAGAACUGUAUUUUCAUCAAAAGCCUUCUCUGUACCUCCAAAGUGGGUCUCAAACAACAGCACUGCUGCAGUGACACAUCAAUUAUUUCUCUCUUUCACUAUCUGGGCCCUUUUCAGCAGCAGUUACUCAAAACCUCGAUGGGAAAUGUUGGUAUUUAUCCCUUGGUGGGCUGCUUCACUCCCAGCAAAGCCACCUUUAGGAAACACAGCAGGACUGGACAGAAAACUAGAAGUAUGAGGACCUCACCAGGUAGAAAAGGGGCAUUGCUUGCACCAGAACCGACUGGUCCUAAUGAAAGUCCUUCUCAACAAGAGCAGCUGUGUGAGCCGAGGCUCCUCGAGGAGGACCUGCUGCCAUAUCACCCGUGUUUACUGUUUGUGCUUUCUCUUGGCUUUAGUUUGAACCGAUGGACACCAGCUCCAGUCCGGAGUGACGACCUGAGGGCCCAUUAAUGAACACAAACAUAUGGAGCACCAUUGUAACUUACUUCUGGUUACAUUCAUCCAAAAAAGAAUCUGGUUUAAUUCAUCAGGGUCUGCUGUGGAGAAGGUAACACCAUAGGAUUAACGGAGGAAGCUUCCAAGCAGUUCUCUUGCAUUUGUGGAAUGAAAGGUACCAACAAUGGUGCUUAACAGAAACACGUAACGAGCAAAAACGUAAAACUGAUCUUUGCAUAGCAGUGAACUGAAAGAUUUUUCAAAUUAUAUUUUGCAUUUUUGCAUCUGAUGCAACUGAGAGCCUCCAAGGAAGCCUGCAGCAGUACAAGAGAGAAGAAAGGGGAGCAGCUUUGGAGGAGGGCAGACAGAAGUGUUUGGUAGAAGCAGGAAACAGGGAAGUUGCUCCAGCUGGAAUUUGGGAUAUAAACAGAUUUCAAGAGAGAAUGAUUUUAUUUUA